Molecule: transfer RNA, 77 nt
Filed under: Deltaproteobacteria bacterium
Lineage: Bacteria; Pseudomonadati; Myxococcota; Myxococcia
Also listed under: 2 other names
Description: tRNA-Gly
Rfam family: tRNA
About the family: Transfer RNA (tRNA) molecules are approximately 80 nucleotides in length.
Source: RNAcentral
GCGGGAAUAGCUCAGUUGGCUAGAGCGAAAGCCUUCCAAGCUUUAGGUCGCGGGUUCGAGCCCCGUUUCCCGCUCCA